RNAcentral lists this ribosomal RNA (253 nucleotides) under uncultured bacterium. RNAcentral's name for it is "partial 16S ribosomal RNA". It matches the Rfam family "Bacterial small subunit ribosomal RNA", at positions 524 to 776 of the family's 1533-position model. The record is from RNAcentral.
UACGGAGGGUGCAAGCGUUAUCCGGAUUUACUGGGCUUAAAGGGUGCGUAGGUGGGUCUGUAAGUCAGUGGUGAAAUCUCCGGGCUUAACCCGGAAACUGCCAUUGAUACUAUAGAUCUUGAAUAUCCUGGAGGUGAGCGGAAUAUGUCAUGUAGCGGUGAAAUGCUUAGAUAUGACAUAGAACACCAAUUGCGAAGGCAGCUCACUACGGGAUUAUUGACACUGAGGCACGAAAGCGUGGGGAUCAAACAGG